Hevea brasiliensis (rubber tree) is the source of this 89-nucleotide small nucleolar RNA. RefSeq annotates it as small nucleolar RNA SNORD24. The transcript has a single exon. Lineage: Eukaryota; Viridiplantae; Streptophyta; Magnoliopsida; Malpighiales; Euphorbiaceae. The record is from RefSeq and is a predicted model, not a curated record.
CGCCCAGUGAUGUGAGAAAAUAUUUGCUACACUUGAUGGAUUUUAAAGAAUCCACUUGAUGAUUCCUAUCUACCAAGAUCUCUGAGGCA